GGAUUAGCGGCGAACGGGUGAGGAACACGUGAAGAAUCUGCCCUCCACUUUGGGAUAACACCGGGAAACCGGUGCUAAUACUGAAUAUUGAAACAUAAGUGGCAUCACUGAGUUUUGAAAGAAUUUCGGUGGAGGAUGACUUCGCGGCCUAUCAGCUAGUUGGUGAGGUAAUGGCUCACCAAGGCAACGACGGGUAGCCGGCCUGAGAGGGCGACCGGCCACACUGGGACUGAGACACGGCCCAGACUCC
Molecule: ribosomal RNA, 250 nt
Filed under: uncultured Micrococcineae bacterium
Lineage: Bacteria; Bacillati; Actinomycetota; Actinomycetes; Micrococcales
Description: partial 16S ribosomal RNA
Rfam family: Bacterial small subunit ribosomal RNA
Source: RNAcentral